This 201-nucleotide ribosomal RNA is filed under the name uncultured bacterium. RNAcentral's name for it is "partial 16S ribosomal RNA". It matches the Rfam family "Bacterial small subunit ribosomal RNA", at positions 1301 to 1500 of the family's 1533-position model. The record is from RNAcentral.
CAGGCUGCAACUCGCCUGCAUGAAGUCGGAAUUGCUAGUAAUCGUAGGUCAGCAUACCACGGUGAAUACGUUCCCGGGCCCUUGUACACACCGCCCGUCAAACCAUGAGAGUUGGCAACACCCGAAGUCGGUAGUCUAACCGCAAGGAGGACGCCGCCGAAGGUGGGGUUGAUGAUUAGGGUUAAGUCGUAACAAGGUAUC